GCAAGAUUAAAACUCAAAGGAAUAGACGGGGACCCGCACAAGUGGUGGAGCAUGUGGUUUAAUUCGAAGAUACGCGAAGAACCUUACCUAGCCUUGACAUUGAUAGAAUCUUCCAGAGAUGGAGGAGUGCCUUUAGGGGAACUUGAAAACAGGUGCUGCACGGCUGUCGUCAGCUCGUGUCGUGAGAUGUUGGGUUAAGUCCCGCAACGAGCGCAACCCUCGUCACUAGUUACUAACAGUUAGGCUGAGGACUCUAGUGAGACUGCCUUCGUAAGGAGGAGGAAGGUGAGGACGACGUCAAGUCAUCAUGGCCCUUACGGCUAGGGCAACACACGUGCUACAAUGGUUAGGACAGUGAGAAGCGAUACCGCGAGGUGGAGCCAAUCUAUAAACCUAAUCUCAGUUCGGAUUGUAGUCUGCAACUCGACUACAUGAAGCUGGAAUCACUAGUAAUCGUAGAUCAGCUAUGCUACGGUGAAUACGUUCCCGGGUCUUGUACUCACCGCCCGUCACACCAUGGGAGUUGAUUUCACCCGAAGCGGGGAAGCUAAACUGGCUACCCUCCACGGUGGAAUUAGCGACUGGGGUGAAGUCGUAACAAGGUA
This 605-nucleotide ribosomal RNA is filed under the name uncultured bacterium. Its description in RNAcentral is "bacterial SSU rRNA". It matches the Rfam family "Bacterial small subunit ribosomal RNA", at positions 888 to 1498 of the family's 1533-position model. The record is from RNAcentral.